This 340-nucleotide long non-coding RNA is filed under the name Paramuricea clavata. The record is from RNAcentral. Lineage: Eukaryota; Metazoa; Cnidaria; Anthozoa; Malacalcyonacea; Plexauridae.
UUUUUAUUUGCGAUCAUUUCGUUGGAAAGAAGACACAAAUAUGUUAUCUAAAUUGUGAAGUAAGAAAGAUUUAAUUGAAAUGGCAAGUGCUUCAUCAGAAAGUGUUCCUGUUGAUGAAAUCAACGAACUACUCACAUGUUGCAUGUGUUUGGAAACCCUACAAGAACCACGAAGCUUGGCUUGCUUUCAUAAUUUUUGUAAAGUCUGUUUAGGUGAGUAUAUUUUACUUUUUAAAAAAAUCUACUUUGCACAUGCUUGCAUGAGUACCACAGAAUAGGAAUAUAUCCUUAUCCUGUGAUGGGUAAUGACUGAAUUCAUAAUUUAAUACAAGGUUGGAAAG